Molecule: ribosomal RNA, 466 nt
Filed under: uncultured bacterium
Lineage: Bacteria
Description: partial 16S ribosomal RNA
Rfam family: Bacterial small subunit ribosomal RNA
Source: RNAcentral
GAUGAACGCUGGCGGCGUGCUUAACACAUGCAAGUCGAACGAUGAAGCCCAGCUUGCUGGGUGGAUUAGUGGCGAACGGGUGAGUAACACGUGAGUAACCUGCCCUUGACUCUGGGAUAAGCCUGGGAAACUGGGUCUAAUACUGGAUAUGACUUCUCAUCGCAUGGUGGGGGGUGGAAAGAUUUAUUGGUCUUGGAUGGACUCGCGGCCUAUCAGCUUGUUGGUGAGGUAAUGGCUCACCAAGGCGACGACGGGUAGCCGGCCUGAGAGGGUGACCGGCCACACUGGGACUGAGACACGGCCCAGACUCCUACGGGAGGCAGCAGUGGGGAAUAUUGCACAAUGGGCGCAAGCCUGAUGCAGCGACGCCGCGCGAGGGAUGACGGCCUUCGGGUUGUAAACCUCUUUCAGUAGGGAAGAAGCGAGAGUGACGGUACCUGCAGAAGAAGCGCCGGCUAACUACGUG